This 72-nucleotide transfer RNA is filed under the name Camelus dromedarius (Arabian camel). It matches the Rfam family "tRNA". From Rfam's summary of the family: Transfer RNA (tRNA) molecules are approximately 80 nucleotides in length. RNAcentral also lists the same sequence under 1 other name. The record is from Rfam by way of RNAcentral. Lineage: Eukaryota; Metazoa; Chordata; Mammalia; Artiodactyla; Camelidae.
GGGGGUAUAGUUCAGUGGUAGAGUGCGUGCUUAGCAUGCACGAGGUCCUGGGUUCAAUCCCUAGUACCUCCA